Long non-coding RNA from Suricata suricatta (meerkat), 633 nucleotides. RefSeq lists it as uncharacterized. NCBI's taxonomy places the organism in Eukaryota, Metazoa, Chordata, Mammalia, Carnivora, Herpestidae. The transcript has 2 exons. The record is from RefSeq and is a predicted model, not a curated record.
GAGAGCUUUCUGCCCUGCUCCCUCCAAUGCCAAAGUGGAAAGUGAAAAUGCCUUCCUGCCCUGAUAAGGACUCACCUACUGAGUUUAUCAGCAUGUUUCAGCCUGAGAGAAUUUACCCCUCGGGGGAAAAAGAAGUUCAAGCCCUACAGCUCUGCCCAAGGCAAAAUGCUACAGGAAUUGGACAGAUGAAGCAGCCGAGCCGAAUCGAUAGCAACAGGCAGUGAACGCAUAUAAAUUUCAACCAGCAAAUGCUCGGCAUUGUCUCUUGGGCCUCCCAUCAACAGUAACAUCACUAAAUUUCCUGAUUUAAGGUUCUCACAAAAUAGAAAUCAAAUAACUAACAAAGUGCCAGCCACUCACAGACUUCAGGUUAAUGAGUUUGAUCUUCAUUAAUCAACCUGGAGUUUCUGAGUUGACUAACAUUUGGGAUAGAUGCUCCCACCUAAAAGGAUCGUGUUUCUUAUCAAUCAGGCUUAUCAAGGAACUCUGCUUCAGCUCUCAUUAGCCACGUCCCAUAUCCCAUCCAGCUAUUUAACAUUUGGAUAGAAUGUUGGGAGAAGAUGGGCUAGGAAUUGAAGAUACUAACACAAGUAUCCUUUCUCCUCUCUGGCCGUUACAGUGAUUUCCUUUAAA